RNAcentral lists this ribosomal RNA (612 nucleotides) under Triticum aestivum (bread wheat). RNAcentral describes it as "partial small subunit ribosomal RNA". The record is from RNAcentral. Lineage: Eukaryota; Viridiplantae; Streptophyta; Magnoliopsida; Poales; Poaceae.
AUGUUGUCAUUCUUCCACCUACCGAAAGGGGUUCUCCAGAGACUAGAUUACUUUAGAUCCAGAUUUUUUUGGCAGUGCGAUAAUGAAUCCAAGAAAUAUAGAUUGGCUAGGUGGAGCAUAUUUUGCAGACCUAAAAGUCAAGGGGGGCUGGGAAUUCAAGACCUUGAGAUAAAAAAUAUUGCUCUUCUCAGCAAGUGGGUUUACAAACUACUCUCUGAGAAUGGGGUAUGGCAAGAGAUCAUUCGCAACAAGUAUGUGGGAUCAAAUGCCAUUUCUCAAGUUCAUUGGAAACCCUGGGAUUCACACUUUUGGAGUGGCGUGAUGAAGGCCAAGGAAUUCUUUUUCCAAUUUGGGACCUUCUCGGUUAGGGAUGGUUCUCAGGUUCGAUUCUGGGAAGACACCUGGCUAGGGAAUAACCCACUAAUGGUGCAAUAUCCGAACUUGUACAAGAUUGUCAGACAUAAAUUUGUCACGAUCAAACAAGUUUUAGGACAACAAAACCCUGAUAUUUCUUUCCGUAGGGACCUUCUUGGCCCUCGCCUGGCAGCAUGGAAUGAAUUAUUCACUCGUCUGGAGGACAUUCAACUGUCAGGUGAGCCGGACGUCUUUUGA